Long non-coding RNA from Oxyura jamaicensis (ruddy duck), 403 nucleotides. RefSeq lists it as uncharacterized. Lineage: Eukaryota; Metazoa; Chordata; Aves; Anseriformes; Anatidae. The record is from RefSeq and is a predicted model, not a curated record. The transcript has 3 exons.
AGGAAAUGCUUUUGGAAGAAAAAACAUUUAAGCACUGGAUGAUACUGUGGGACAUCAGAUAGUUUUACAGUAUUUUUAUACCUUCUGCAGCAUCUAGCAGCAUUACCUUGGGGAAGCUGAGAUGACUGUGUAAAUUGAAACAAAAUCUGAUUUGGAUCUUCAGGAAUUUUGGACAAAUUCUGUCAAGAAGCAGAAAUGGCAUACAAGCUGUGAGAAGUACUUGUACCCCCUUCACCAAAAUAUGCUCCUAAUGUGAAAAGAAUUUGAAGGCAGUUACUUGUGAGCUGGUUGGGUCAACCCAGAGAUCAGGUCAUCAGGCAAACUUGUGGUUAUAGAGACAGGCUGAGUCACCUUCCACUUUUCUCUUUGUUUUUGCCGGAAAUGUCAGUUCUUAAGAGCCCUG